Molecule: long non-coding RNA, 723 nt
Filed under: Homo sapiens (human)
Lineage: Eukaryota; Metazoa; Chordata; Mammalia; Primates; Hominidae
Description: HSALNT0306397
Source: RNAcentral
CAGAAAGGUGAAAAUUGUGGCCAGAGGCAGAUUGUGCUAUCAGGUAAAUAAGCCCAGGCUAUUGUGCUGGAUGAUGAGAGGUCACUGGAACACUGAUGAGCCAUAACAGCUGAGGCCAUUCUAGAAUAGGCAGCUUUAGCCAACCAGGCAGCUGACUGCAGAUACAGGCCUGCAUCCAGAUGAGUCCAGAAAAGCAACCUAGACACUACUGGCAAAGACAUUGAAAAGAAUCACACUGCUAAACCAGUAGCAGCUUUUAUCUUCUUCUCAGAUUGUAUACAUGCAGGAUAAAAGUGUUUCUAACACAUAGACUUCUAUAUUCCAGCAUAAAGAUGUAUUAGGCGCAUUUAUACUUUUACAUCGAAGCCUGUUUCAACAUGAACGGAGCCCAGGGAAGUUGGUGACUUAAUCCUCGUUAUACCCUGAUUUUGGACAAAUUUUACAAGAAGAAUAGGACUUCUACUUCUCUAUGUCUACAUGCACCUGGAACAGUGCUAGGUCUAUGCUUACAAAUUGAUUGGUUCAGGUCACCGCCAUGAGCCUCAGGACAGAAAAUUGCCGGAUAUGAGAGAGAGAGAGAGAUUUGACUGGGCUAAGAAAGAAAUGAACACGAUUUAGAGAUGGAAAUGGUGACAUAUGGGCCUUUGAAGCCUCCCAUGUUCCAGAGAAGCCUUUUCUAGCUGAUCUCCCACCAUGACAUCCUUCCCCCACAGCUGGUUUGUC